GGAUCCAGAUUUUGAUCAUGGCUCAGGAUGAACGCUAGCUACAGGCUUAACACAUGCAAGUCGAGGGGCAGCAUGAACUUAGCUUGCUAAGUUUGAUGGCGACCGGCGCACGGGUGAGUAACACGUAUCCAACCUUCCGUUUACUCAGGGAUAGCCUUUCGAAAGAAAGAUUAAUACCUGAUAGUAUGGUGAGAUUGCAUGAUAGCACCAUUAAAGAUUUAUUGGUAAACGAUGGGGAUGCGUUCCAUUAGGUAGUAGGCGGGGUAACGGCCCACCUAGCCGACGAUGGAUAGGGGUUCUGAGAGGAAAGUCCCCCACAUUGGAACUGAGACACGGUCCAAACUCCUACGGGAGGCAGCAGUGAGGAAUAUUGGUCAAUGGGCGAGAGCCUGAACCAGCCAAGUAGCGUGAAGGAUGAAGGUCCUACGGAUUGUAAACUUCUUUUAUACGGGAAUAAAGUAUCCUACGUGUAGGAUUUUGUAUGUACCGUAUGAAUAAGCAUCGGCUAACUCCGUGCCAGCAGCCGCGGUAAUACGGAGGAUGCGAGCGUUAUCCGGAUUUAUUGGGUUUAAAGGGAGCGCAGACGGGAGAUUAAGUCAGUUGUGAAAGUUUGCGGCUCAACCGUAAAAUUGCAGUUGAUACUGGUUUCCUUGAGUGCAGUUGAGGCAGGCGGAAUUCGUGGUGUAGCGGUGAAAUGCUUAGAUAUCACGAAGAACCCCGAUUGCGAAGGCAGCUUGCUAAACUGUAACUGACGUUCAUGCUCGAAAGUGUGGGUAUCAAACAGGAUUAGAUACCCUGGUAGUCCACACGGUAAACGAUGGAUACUCGCUGUUGGCGAUAUACUGUCAGCGGCCAAGCGAAAGCAUUAAGUAUCCCACCUGGGGAGUACGCCGGCAACGGUGCAACUCAAAUGAAUUGACGG
This 922-nucleotide ribosomal RNA is filed under the name uncultured Bacteroidota bacterium. RNAcentral's name for it is "bacterial SSU rRNA". It matches the Rfam family "Bacterial small subunit ribosomal RNA", at positions 1 to 916 of the family's 1533-position model. Lineage: Bacteria; Pseudomonadati; Bacteroidota. The record is from RNAcentral.